GACGAACGCUGGCGGCGCGCCUAACACAUGCAAGUCGAACGAGCGAGCGAGAGCUUGCUUUCUCGAGCGAGUGGCGAACGGGUGAGUAACGCGUGAGGAACCUGCCUCAAAGAGGGGGACAACAGUUGGGAACGACUGCUAAUACCGCAUAAGCCCACGACCCGGCAUCGGGUCGAGGGAAAAGGAGCAAUCCGCUUUGAGAUGGCCUCGCGUCCGAUUAGCUAGUUGGUGAGGUAACGGCCCACCAAGGCGACGAUCGGUAGCCGGACUGAGAGGUUGAACGGCCACAUUGGGACUGAGACACGGCCCAGACUCCUACGGGAGGCAGCAGUGGGGAAUAUUGCACAAUGGGGGAAACCCUGAUGCAGCGACGCCGCGUGGAGGAAGAAGGUCUUCGGAUUGGAAACUCCUGUUGUUGAGGAAGAUAAUGACGGUACUCAACAAGGAAGUGACGGCUAACUACGUG
Molecule: ribosomal RNA, 466 nt
Filed under: uncultured bacterium
Lineage: Bacteria
Description: partial 16S ribosomal RNA
Rfam family: Bacterial small subunit ribosomal RNA
Source: RNAcentral